Molecule: ribosomal RNA, 234 nt
Filed under: uncultured bacterium
Lineage: Bacteria
Description: partial 16S ribosomal RNA
Rfam family: Bacterial small subunit ribosomal RNA
Source: RNAcentral
GAUCAUGGCUCAGGAUGAACGCUAGCUACAGGCUUAACACAUGCAAGUCGAGGGGCAGCAUAAACUUAGCUUGCUAAGUUUGAUGGCUACCGGCGCACGGGUGAGUAACACGUAUCCAACCUUCCGUUUACUCAGGGAUAGCCUUUCGAAAGAAAGAUUAAUACCUGAUAGUAUGGUGAGAUUGCAUGAUAGCACCAUUAAAGAUUUAUUGGUAAACGAUGGGGAUGCGUUCCA